GAUGAACGCUGGCGGCGUGCCUAAUACAUGCAAGUCGAGCGAACAGAUGAGGAGCUUGCUCCUCUGACGUUAGCGGCGGACGGGUGAGUAACACGUGGAUAACCUACCUAUAAGACUGGGAUAACUUCGGGAAACCGGAGCUAAUACCGGAUAAUAUAUUGAACCGCAUGGUUCAAUAGUGAAAGACGGUUUUGCUGUCACUUAUAGAUGGAUCCGCGCCGCAUUAGCUAGUUGGUAAGGUAACGGCUUACCAAGGCAACGAUGCGUAGCCGACCUGAGAGGGUGAUCGGCACACUGGAACUGAGACACGGUCCAGACUCCUACGGGAGGCAGCAGUAGGGAAUCUUCCGCAGUGGGCGAAAGCCUGACGGAGCAACGCCGCGUGAGUGAUGAAGGUCUUCGGAUCGUAAAACUCUGUUAUUAGGGAAGAACAAAUGUGUAAGUAACUAUGCACGUCUUGACGGUACCUAAUCAGAAAGCCACGGCUAACUACGU
This 495-nucleotide ribosomal RNA is filed under the name uncultured bacterium. Its description in RNAcentral is "partial 16S ribosomal RNA". It matches the Rfam family "Bacterial small subunit ribosomal RNA", at positions 28 to 506 of the family's 1533-position model. The record is from RNAcentral.